UACAGAGGGUGCAAACGUUGCUCGGAAUCACUGGGCGUAAAGCGCGUGUAGGCGGACCGGAAAGUCGGGUGUGAAAUCCCUGGGCUCAACCCAGGAACUGCAUCCGAAACUACCAGCCUAGAGUGUCGGAGAGGGAAGUGGAAUUCUUGGUGUAGAGGUGAAAUUCGUAGAUAUCAAGAGGAACACCGGUGGCGAAGGCGGCUUCCUGGACGAUAACUGACGCUGAGAAGCGAAAGCGUGGGGAGCAAACAGG
RNAcentral lists this ribosomal RNA (253 nucleotides) under uncultured bacterium. Its description in RNAcentral is "partial 16S ribosomal RNA". It matches the Rfam family "Bacterial small subunit ribosomal RNA", at positions 524 to 776 of the family's 1533-position model. The record is from RNAcentral.